ACGUUAUAAAUAUUGUGUAAUAUAUUUGGCUUCCAACUAAAAAACCUUGGUAACUAAACCAAGAUAACGUA
Molecule: transfer RNA, 71 nt
Filed under: Phyllophorella liuwutiensis
Lineage: Eukaryota; Metazoa; Echinodermata; Holothuroidea; Dendrochirotida; Phyllophoridae
Description: tRNA-Gly
Source: RNAcentral